This 497-nucleotide ribosomal RNA is filed under the name uncultured bacterium. RNAcentral's name for it is "partial 16S ribosomal RNA". It matches the Rfam family "Bacterial small subunit ribosomal RNA", at positions 28 to 507 of the family's 1533-position model. The record is from RNAcentral.
GAUGAACGCUGGCGGCGUGCCUAAUACAUGCAAGUCGAGCGAACAGAUGAGGAGCUUGCUCCUCUGACGUUAGCGGCGGACGGGUGAGUAACACGUGGAUAACCUACCUAUAAGACUGGGAUAACUUCGGGAAACCGGAGCUAAUACCGGAUAAUAUAUUGAACCGCAUGGUUCAAUAGUGAAAGACGGUUUUGCUGUCACUUAUAGAUGGAUCCGCGCCGCAUUAGCUAGUUGGUAAGGUAACGGCUUACCAAGGCAACGAUGCGUAGCCGACCUGAGAGGGUGAUCGGCCACACUGGAACGGAGACACGGUCCAGACUCCUACGGGAGGCAGCAGUAGGGAAUCUUCCGCAAUGGGCGGAAGCCUGACGGAGCAACGCCGCGUGAGUGAUGAAGGUCUUCGGAUCGUAAAACUCUGUUAUUAGGGAAGAACAAAUGUGUAAGUAACUAUGCACGUCUUGACGGUACCUAAUCAGAAAGCCACGGCUAACUACGUG